Molecule: ribosomal RNA, 284 nt
Filed under: uncultured bacterium
Lineage: Bacteria
Description: partial 16S ribosomal RNA
Rfam family: Bacterial small subunit ribosomal RNA
Source: RNAcentral
GAUCCUGGCUCAGGAUGAACGCUGGCGGCGCGCCUAACACAUGCAAGUCGAACGGCACCCCUCUCCGGAGGGAAGCGAGUGGCGAACGGCUGAGUAACACGUGGAGAACCUGCCCCCUCCCCCGGAAUAACCGCCCGAAAGGACGGGUAAUACCGGAUACCCCGGGGUGCCGCAUGGCACCCCGGCUAAAGCCCCGACGGGAGGGGAUGGCUCCGCGGCCCAUCAGGUAGACGGCGGGGUGACGGCCCACCGUGCCGACAACGGGUAGCCGGGUUGAGAGACCG